CCCUUAGAUGUUCUGGGCAGCACGCGCGCUACAAUGGUCUUCGCAAACGGAUGCAUUCUCGAAGGAGGAUGCCAAUCUUGGAAUCUAUGCCUUGGUCGGGACAGUUGCUUGCAAUUUUUCGACUCGAACCAGGAAUUCCUUGUAAUCGUGAUUCAUCACAUCACGAUGAAUACGUCCCUGCCCUUUGUACACACCGCCCGUCGCUCCUACCGAUCGAAGAGUUAGGUGAAUUGUUUUGAUCGAUAAGAUUUGACUAUGGUCAACUCUCGUUGGGAAAUUCUGUGAAUCUGACUGUUUAGAGGAAGGAAAAGUCGUAACA
This 319-nucleotide ribosomal RNA is filed under the name uncultured eukaryote. RNAcentral describes it as "partial 18S ribosomal RNA". It matches the Rfam family "Eukaryotic small subunit ribosomal RNA", at positions 1470 to 1796 of the family's 1831-position model. The record is from RNAcentral.